RNAcentral lists this ribosomal RNA (548 nucleotides) under uncultured deep-sea bacterium. RNAcentral describes it as "bacterial SSU rRNA". It matches the Rfam family "Bacterial small subunit ribosomal RNA", at positions 8 to 535 of the family's 1533-position model. The record is from RNAcentral.
AGAGUUUGAUCCUGGCUCAGAAUCAACGCUGGCGGCGUGCCUAACACAUGCAAGUCGAACGCGAAAGCGGCUUCGGCCGUAAGUAGAGUGGCGAACGGGUGAGUAACGCGUGGGUGACCUGCCUUCGAGUGGGGGAUAACGUUUCGAAAGGAACGCUAAUACCGCAUGACAUCCCGUCCUUGGACGGAUGGUGAUCAAAGCUGGGGAUCGCAAGACCUGGCGCUUGAAGAGGGGCCCGCGUCCGAUUAGCUAGUUGGUAGGGUAAUGGCCUACCAAGGCAACGAUCGGUAGCCGGCCUGAGAGGGCGGACGGCCACACUGGGACUGAGACACGGCCCAGACUCCUACGGGAGGCAGCAGUGAGGAAUUGUUCGCAAUGGGCGCAAGCCUGACGACGCAACGCCGCGUGGAGGAUGAAGAUCUUCGGGUUGUAAACUCCUGUCGAGCGGGACGAAUAUCACCUGGGUCAAUACCCCGGGUGCCUGACGGUACCGCUAAAGGAAGCCCCGGCUAACUCCGUGCCAGCAGCCGCGGUAAUACGGGGGGGGC